RNAcentral lists this ribosomal RNA (253 nucleotides) under uncultured bacterium. RNAcentral's name for it is "partial 16S ribosomal RNA". It matches the Rfam family "Bacterial small subunit ribosomal RNA", at positions 524 to 776 of the family's 1533-position model. The record is from RNAcentral.
UACGUAGGGUGCGAGCGUUGUCCGGAAUUAUUGGGCGUAAAGGGCUCGUAGGCGGUUUGUCGCGUCGGGAGUGAAAACGCCGUGCUUAACACGGCGCUUGCUUUCGAUACGGGCAGACUAGAGGUAUGCAGGGGAGAACGGAAUUCCUGGUGUAGCGGUGAAAUGCGCAGAUAUCAGGAAGAACACCCGUGGCGAAGGCGGCUCUCUGGUACGUGACUGACGCUGAGACGCGAAAGCGUGGGGAGCGAACAGG